GAUGAACGCUGGCGGCGUGCCUAAUACAUGCAAGUCGAGCGAACAGACGAGGAGCUUGCUCCUCUGACGUUAGCGGCGGACGGGUGAGUAACACGUGGAUAACCUACCUAUAAGACUGGGAUAACUUCGGGAAACCGGAGCUAAUACCGGAUAAUAUAUUGAACCGCAUGGUUCAAUAGUGAAAGACGGUUUUGCUGUCACUUAUAGAUGGAUCCGCGCCGCAUUAGCUAGUUGGUAAGGUAACGGCUUACCAAGGCAACGAUGCGUGGCCGACCUGAGAGGGUGAUAGGCCACACUGGAACGGAGACACGGUCCAGACUCCUACGGGAGGCAGCAGUAGGGAAUCUUCCGCAAUGGGCGAAAGCCUGACGGAGCAACGCCGCGUGAGUGAUGAAGGUCUUCGGAUCGUAAAACUCUGUUAUUAGGGAAGAACAAAUGUGUAAGUAACUAUGCACGUCUUGACGGUACCUAAUCAGAAAGCCACGGCUAACUACGUG
Molecule: ribosomal RNA, 497 nt
Filed under: uncultured bacterium
Lineage: Bacteria
Description: partial 16S ribosomal RNA
Rfam family: Bacterial small subunit ribosomal RNA
Source: RNAcentral